RNAcentral lists this ribosomal RNA (241 nucleotides) under uncultured Actinomycetales bacterium. RNAcentral's name for it is "partial 16S ribosomal RNA". It matches the Rfam family "Bacterial small subunit ribosomal RNA", at positions 91 to 334 of the family's 1533-position model. Lineage: Bacteria; Bacillati; Actinomycetota; Actinomycetes; Actinomycetales. The record is from RNAcentral.
AUUAGUGGCGAACGGGUGAGUAACACGUGAGUAACCUGCCCUUAACUCUGGGAUAAGCCUGGGAAACUGGGUCUAAUACCGGAUAGGAGCGCCUACCGCAUGGUGGGUGUUGGAAAGAUUUAUCGGUUUUGGAUGGACUCGCGGCCUAUCAGCUUGUUGGUGAGGUAAUGGCUCACCAAGGCGACGACGGGUAGCCGGCCUGAGAGGGUGACCGGCCACACUGGGACUGAGACACGGCCAG